GAUGAACGCUGGCGGCGUGCCUAAUACAUGCAAGUCGAGCGAACAGACGAGGAGCUUGCUCCUCUGACGUUAGCGGCGGACGGGUGAGUAACACGUGGAUAACCUACCUAUAAGACUGGGAUAACUUCGGGAAACCGGAGCUAAUACCGGAUAAUAUAUUGAACCGCAUGGUUCAAUAGUGAAAGACGGUUUUGCUGUCACUUAUAGAUGGAUCCGCGCCGCAUUAGCUAGUUGGUAAGGUAACGGCUUACCAAGGCAACGAUGCGUAGCCGACCUGAGAGGGGGAUCGGCCACACUGGAACUGAGACGCGGUCCAGACUCCGACGGGAGGCAGCAGUAGGGAAUCUUCCGCAAUGGGCGAAAGCCUGACGGAGCAACGCCGCGUGAGUGAUGAAGGUCUUCGGAUCGUAAAACUCUGUUAUUAGGGAAGAACAAAUGUGUAAGUAACUAUGCACGUCUUGACGGUACCAAAACAGAAAGCCACGGCUAACUACGUG
Molecule: ribosomal RNA, 497 nt
Filed under: uncultured bacterium
Lineage: Bacteria
Description: partial 16S ribosomal RNA
Rfam family: Bacterial small subunit ribosomal RNA
Source: RNAcentral